AUGUCUCCUUAUAUGAAACACCUGAUUCCACUCAUCAGGCUCUUGCCAGAACGGCUGUUUAUCAAUAUGCAUUCUUCAGCGAUCUUGCGUCCUUAUGUCCUCACUCUACGUCAGUAUUAACUGUCAAAGUUUGAUUCUCAAGAAAGCAAGUAUAGAGGAUGCAUGGAUGUGUUCUCGAUAUCGAGGAUGAAUCAGGUGUUUUAUAUAUAGAGACAUCUAAAAUGUUCUGGGAGGCGGGGCUUGAGGACUGGACUUGAGAACCACUGUGUUAGACCAUGAUAUUUGACUGACUGUACUGAACUUUUGUUUGCAGGAAGAUGAAACUAGUUACAAGUCAUCUACGUAUGGCAGCUCUGGAUGUACAGUGGAUGAUCUGACAGAUGGUCCUGAAAAGACGACUACGAUAGAUGGUCCUGAAAAGAAGACAAAGUUUCAAAGCCAUCACCUGAGUCGCCUCCAAAAACUUAGAGCGCAUCACAAUGUUUGUGAAGAUCGAUACUUGAAGGCGCAAAUUUUUUUUUUAAAAGAUGAACGUGAAAAGACUUUAUUUUUACAUCAGCGCAUGACAACAAAGGUUAGUUGUAUUAAAUCUUUUGUAUGGCUUUGUUUGCUAGGUCAGUCUUGUGUUUGUUGUCUUUAUGUUUCGCGCAGGUUUAAUGCUCAGUCAUUUGAUUUAAAGUCUUCAGUCUACUAAACCUCUCUCGUCCUCACCGAGCAAGCAAGGCCGCUGGGCCCAAAUUUCGCAUCCUACAGCUUCAACCCUACUCCGCCGAGCACCGGGUUUUUUCAUUUGCGUCUCACCACCGGUGGCAGGCCCUCGGCAGGUCUUGGCCGCGUCCUAGAGCGCCGGCUUCAAUCAGUUCCCCAUCCGCAUAACCGCGGAUCCUGCUACCAUUCCACCAAAUAUUUCUGUUAUAUCCACCAUCGAUUCGUUGUUCAUUUUCCCUAA
Paramisgurnus dabryanus is the source of this 949-nucleotide non-coding RNA. The record is from RefSeq and is a predicted model, not a curated record. NCBI's taxonomy places the organism in Eukaryota, Metazoa, Chordata, Actinopteri, Cypriniformes, Cobitidae.